UGGGGAAUUUUGGACAAUGGGCGAAAGCCUGAUCCAGCAAUGCCGCGUGCGGGAAGAAGGCCUUCGGGUUGUAAACCGCUUUUGUUAGAGAUGAAAAGCAGGCUUCUAAUAUAAAUCUGUUAUGACAGUAUCUAAAGAAUAAGCACCGGCUAACUACGUGCCAGCAGCCGCGGUAAUACGUAGGGUGCGAGCGUUAAUCAGAAUUACUGGGCGUAAAGGGUUCGCAGGCUGCUUUGUAAGAUGAGUGUGAAAUUCUUGGGCUUAACCUAAGAACUGCAUUCAUGACUGCAUCGCUAGAGUACAGCAGAGGAAGAUGGAAUUCCGCGUGUAGCAGUGAAAUGCGUAGAUAUGCGGAGGAACACCGAUGGCGAAGGCACUCUUCUGGGCUUGUACUGACGCUGAGGAACGAAAGCGUGGGGAGCAAACAGG
This 429-nucleotide ribosomal RNA is filed under the name uncultured bacterium. RNAcentral describes it as "bacterial SSU rRNA". It matches the Rfam family "Bacterial small subunit ribosomal RNA", at positions 355 to 776 of the family's 1533-position model. The record is from RNAcentral.